This 447-nucleotide ribosomal RNA is filed under the name uncultured bacterium. RNAcentral describes it as "bacterial SSU rRNA". It matches the Rfam family "Bacterial small subunit ribosomal RNA", at positions 355 to 825 of the family's 1533-position model. The record is from RNAcentral.
UGGGGAAUUUUGGACAAUGGGCGCAAGCCUGACCCAGCAACACCGCGUGAAGGAUGAAGUAUUUCGGUAUGUAAACUUCGAAAGAAUAGGAAGAAUAAAUGACGGUACUAUUUAUAAGGUCCGGCUAACUACGUGCCAGCAGCCGCGGUAAUACGUAGGGACCAAGCGUUGUUCGGAUUUACUGGGCGUAAAGGGCGCGUAGGCGGCAAUUCAAGUCAUCUGUGAAAUCUCCGGGCUUAACUCGGAACGGUCAGAUGAUACUGCUUUGCUAGAGUGCAGAAGGGGCAAUCGGAAUUCUUGGUGUAGCGGUGAAAUGCGUAGAUAUCAAGAGGAACACCUGAGGUGAAGACGGGUUGCUGGGCUGACACUGACGCUGAGGCGCGAAAGCCAGGGGAGCAAACGGGAUUAGAUACCCGAGUAGUCCCUGAGCGGGCUGGCAAGGCGCAU